This 497-nucleotide ribosomal RNA is filed under the name uncultured bacterium. RNAcentral's name for it is "partial 16S ribosomal RNA". It matches the Rfam family "Bacterial small subunit ribosomal RNA", at positions 28 to 507 of the family's 1533-position model. The record is from RNAcentral.
GAUGAACGCUGGCGGCGUGCCUAAUACAUGCAAGUCGAGCGAACAGACGAGGAGCUUGCUCCUCUGACGUUAGCGGCGGACGGGUGAGUAACACGUGGAUAACCUACCUAUAAGACUGGGAUAACAUCGGGAAACCGGAGCUAAUACCGGAUAAUAUAUUGAACCGCAUGGUUCAAUAGUGAAAGACGGUUUUGCUGUCACUUAUAGAUGGAUCCGCGCCGCAUUAGCUAGUUGGUAAGGUAACGGCUUACCAAGGCGACGAUGCGUAGCCGACCUGAGAGGGUGAUCGGCCACACUGGAACUGAGACACGGUCCAGACUCCUACGGGAGGCAGCAGUAGGGAAUCUUCCGCAAUGGGCGAAAGCCUGACGGAGCAACGCCGCGUGAGUGAUGAAGGUCUUCGGAUCGUAAAACUCUGUUAUUAGGGAAGAACAAAUGUGUAAGUAACUAUGCACGUCUUGACGGUACCUAAUCAGAAAGCCACGGCUAACUACGUG